UUUCCGUAGGUGAACCUGCGGAAGGAUCAUUAUCGUAUAACCGAGGUCCGAGGCCUUUCGCUCACCCGACACUUCGUGCACGCCCGAGUGCCCUCUUACACUUCCAUCUCACCCCUAUGUGCACCACCGCGGGGGUCCCCCUUUGGCCUGUUCGGAGGGCGGUUUACGUUUUCACACACACUUUGUAUGCAGUGUAGCAUGCAUUCUUUCUUUUUGUAAUGACGCAAUCAAUACAACUUUCAACAACGCAUCACUUGGUUCGUCCAUCUCUGAAGAACG
This 279-nucleotide unclassified non-coding RNA is filed under the name plant metagenome. Its description in RNAcentral is "partial contains small subunit ribosomal RNA, internal transcribed spacer 1, and 5.8S ribosomal RNA". The record is from RNAcentral.